RNAcentral lists this small RNA (72 nucleotides) under Priestia megaterium. Lineage: Bacteria; Bacillati; Bacillota; Bacilli; Caryophanales; Bacillaceae. The record is from RNAcentral.
CCCGUGCUACAACCGCUCAGAACAGGUUUUAAGUUCACUUGAACACCUGUGAUGGCGAGUCUUAGUUUUUAG